This 274-nucleotide ribosomal RNA is filed under the name Bacillus sp. LP1.2. Its description in RNAcentral is "partial 16S ribosomal RNA". It matches the Rfam family "Bacterial small subunit ribosomal RNA", at positions 86 to 350 of the family's 1533-position model. Lineage: Bacteria; Bacillati; Bacillota; Bacilli; Caryophanales; Bacillaceae. The record is from RNAcentral.
CUGAUGUUAGCGGCGGACGGGUGAGUAACACGUGGGUAACCUGCCUGUAAGACUGGGAUAACUCCGGGAAACCGGGGCUAAUACCGGAUGCUUGAUUGAACCGCAUGGUUCAAUUAUAAAAGGUGGCUUUUAGCUACCACUUACAGAUGGACCCGCGGCGCAUUAGCUAGUUGGUGAGGUAACGGCUCACCAAGGCAACAAUGCGUACCCAACCUGAAAGGGUGAUCGGCCACACUGGGACUGAAACACGGCCCAAACUCCUACGGGAGGCACC